GCCCUUAGAGUUUGAUCAUGGCUCAGGAUGAACGCUAGCGGCAGGCUUAAUACAUGCAAGUCGAACGGUAAUCCCGCUUCUGCGGGAACGAGAGGCGCACGGGUGCGUAACACGUAUGCAAUCUACCCUUCACUGGGGAAUAACCCUGAGAAAUCGGGGCUAAUACCCCAUGGUAUUUUAGAUGGGCAUCCAUUUAAGAUUAAAGAUUUAUCGGUGAAGGAUGGGCAUGCGCCCCAUUAGUUAGUUGGUAAGGUAACGGCUUACCAAGGCUUUGAUGGGUAGGGGUUCUGAGAGGAUUAUCCCCCACACUGGUACUGAGACACGGACCAGACUCCUACGGGAGGCAGCAGUAAGGAAUAUUGGGCAAUGGGAGCGAUCCUGACCCAGCCAUGCCGCGUGCAGGAAGACGGCCCUAUGGGUUGUAAACUGCUUUUAUAUGGGACUAACCUACCCCACGCGUGGGGUACUGCAUGUACCAUAUGAAUAAGCAUCGGCUAACUCCGUGCCAGCAGCCGCGGUAAUACGGAGGAUGCGAGCGUUAUCCGGAAUUAUUGGGUUUAAAGGGUGCGUAGGCUGACAAGUAAGUCAGUGGUGAAAUACCCGGGCUUAACCCGGGGGUUGCCAUUGAUACUGUUUGUCUGGAGUGUAUUCGAAGUGGGCGGAAUGAGGAGUGUAGCGGUGAAAUGCAUAGAUAUUCCUCAGAACACCGAUAGCGAAGGCAGCUCACUAGGUUACAACUGACGCUGAGGCACGAAAGCGUGGGUAGCAAACAGGAUUAGAUACCCUGGUAGUCCACGCAGUAAACGAUGAUCACUAGCUGUUGGCGAUAUACAGUCAGUGGCUAAGCGAAAGCGAUAAGUGAUCC
Molecule: ribosomal RNA, 865 nt
Filed under: uncultured Bacteroidota bacterium
Lineage: Bacteria; Pseudomonadati; Bacteroidota
Description: bacterial SSU rRNA
Rfam family: Bacterial small subunit ribosomal RNA
Source: RNAcentral